CGAGACUUGUCGGGGUGCCCUCACCAGGGCUGAGAUCGGUGACCGCCGAACCCGUUGAACCUGAUCAGGUUGAUGCCUGCGGAGGGAACAAGCUCAUGCUUACC
RNAcentral lists this non-coding RNA (104 nucleotides) under Modicisalibacter ilicicola. Its description in RNAcentral is "Halomonas ilicicola TPP sequence". It matches the Rfam family "TPP riboswitch aptamer (THI element)". From Rfam's summary of the family: Vitamin B(1) in its active form thiamin pyrophosphate (TPP) is an essential coenzyme that is synthesised by coupling of pyrimidine and thiazole moieties in bacteria. The previously detected thiamin-regulatory element, thi box was extended, resulting in a new, highly conserved RNA secondary structure, the THI element, which is widely distributed in eubacteria and also occurs in some archaea. Lineage: Bacteria; Pseudomonadati; Pseudomonadota; Gammaproteobacteria; Oceanospirillales; Halomonadaceae. RNAcentral also lists the same sequence under 1 other name. The record is from RNAcentral.